CUCUCACUGGCAUGAUGAAGCAGGGUAUCUACAAACGUAGUCCAUGGGUUUGGCUCGCCAGCUUGCCUCCCGAUGUUUGUGUCGUCCUGCACUCACCAUGGAAAGAUCUUCAAGUCCAACUUCAAACAGUUACAGCAGCCCUGUGCUAGCGGUCACUCCAGAGCAAACAUCAGCGGCACAGCGCAUCACGAGCAAAGACUCAAUAAACGGAGUCCAGACUCACUAAAAACCGCUGUGGUUCAGUUAGAUAAGCUCUACGUGGGUUACUGACCAGCCCUUCCCGGCCACUGAGACCUGGAUAUCAUGCAUUCCAUUUUGUUCCCACUGUCUCUCACCACCAUUUUUUGUAGGCAGACUUUUAAUAGUGCUCAUUAAAGGGUUACCAAAA
Long non-coding RNA from Myripristis murdjan (pinecone soldierfish), 388 nucleotides. RefSeq lists it as uncharacterized. Lineage: Eukaryota; Metazoa; Chordata; Actinopteri; Holocentriformes; Holocentridae. The record is from RefSeq and is a predicted model, not a curated record. The transcript is spliced from 3 exons.